AAGUACACUGGGAAGACCUCAGGGAGCAGCUGCAGCCUGUGGAUGCUGAAUUCUCAGGCUCUGAGGCCACCCCAGCCUCUCCCUCCAAAAGCUCCCAGAAGCACUUUGGAAAUAAUAGUCUAAGGUCCCCAGGCUGGGAUCAAACCUGUGAUCCUCCUGCCUCAGCCUUCCAGAGCCGAAAGUACAGAUGCAGCCACCUCUGCAAAAGCCCCACCUGUGACCACAAGAGGCUCUGAGGGGCCGUCCAGACCCAGCCCUGACAGGGAGUUUCCGCCCUUUGGUCAGAGGAAUGCCAGAUAAACAGCCUGUCAGUUAAGCUUAUCAACAUAGUUACAAUGUCACAGAAAAGAGAUGCCCGAUUCCCAGGCCAGUGGAGUUUCAUCUUAUUCUGAAUAAAGGCCAUAUUAUAUUUAAAAAAAAAAAAAAGAGUAGGAAA
This is a long non-coding RNA of Heterocephalus glaber (naked mole-rat), 436 nucleotides long. RefSeq lists it as uncharacterized. The record is from RefSeq and is a predicted model, not a curated record. Lineage: Eukaryota; Metazoa; Chordata; Mammalia; Rodentia; Bathyergidae.